GCCUACCUGAAGCUCUGGACAGAGUGAGGUCCAGGUGUAGGAACUGGCCCGUGGGGAGGGAAGACUAAGUCGGCCUCUGGCAGGAAGUCCAGGCCCAGGAAGUUGUAGGGUGGGGUCUUGGUAUUCUCCCAGUAUGGGCGGGACUGGAGGAAGCCACCAACCAACGAAGUACUGGGCCUGUGGGUAUUCGUCUCUCUCCCCGCCCCUGAGAGUCUGGGAAAGGCUGACACGUGGUGCCUUCAGGCUCUGGGGCCUAGGACCUUUGUGGUAGCAGAGUCACUGCAGAGAACCAGACAAUACCAGGUUGCUUAUAAAAGGAUGCCAUGUGCUUGCUGGAGGUCCCAGGUGCAACCAAAUUGCUUGCAGCUAGGAGGACCUUGAAGAGAAAUGGGAUCAGCCCGCCAAACCAAGAAGGGUUAGCACUUUUGCUAGGAGAGCUGACCACGCACAAACAGAUGAGAACCAAAACCGAGUGAAGAGGAUUGAAGAUGAACCCACAUUUUAAAAGUUCUUGUCUGCUGGAGGUGGCAUUACCUGUGACCUCGCUUCACUUCUCCAUACAUGGCUGUUAUAGCAGAAAAUCCAGCUUUCUGAAGCAUAUUUCACGACAUAUGAUGAGACUUAUGUGAUGUGAGACCUGAGAAAACUAUGAUAGAAAGAAGCAACUCAAGUUGCAAGGAUAUUCCUCAUGUAUCAUGCAAGGAUAUUCCUCAUAUAUCAUAGACUAAGGUGUCAGUAUGUUCUUCAAGCUGCUCUGCUCCUGGGCCCAAGCUAUUCUCCUGCCUCAGCCUUCCAAGAAGCUGAAACUACAAGAACACAAGACUGUACCUGGCUUGCAAACACCAUUGCUAAUAAGAAGAUAUUGUAAGACUGAUACCUAAGAGAUAAGAGACAUGGAUCCCUGAGGUCGGUCCCCAAUACGACAAGACAAUUUGAUAUCAUAAUAGAACACUGCAGAAACAAUGCUGAGUGAAGAAGAGUAGAAAUGGGAAGACUUGGUUGAGCGGAAACUGAGUUCUUGAAAAGAGGAGAUGCUUGAUGAGGGCAUGGAUCCCUGAGGUCUGCCCCAGUACUAUAAGACAAUUUGAUGUAAGAAAACACAGCAGAUAUAAUACUGAGUGAAGAAGAGUAUAAAUGAGAAGAUUGGUUGUGCAGAUACUGAGUUCAUGAAAAGAGGAGAUGAUUGAUGAGGCCAGGUGCGGUGACUCAUGCCUGUAAUCCCUGCACUUUGGGAGGCUGCGGCGGGCGGAUCACCUGAGGUCAGGAGUUCGAGACCAGCCUGGGAGACAGAGCAUGGAAACCUAAGGUCUGUACCCAAAACUACAGGACUAUUUGACAUCAUAAUAAAACACUGCAGAUAUGAUGCUGAGUAAGAGUAGAAAUGGGAAGACUUGGUUGUGCAGUAACUGAGUUCUUGAAAAGAGGAGAUGCUUGAUGAGGGCAUGGAUCACUAAGGUCUGUUCCCAAUACAAGAAGACUCUUUGACAUCAUAAUAAAAUACUGCAGAUACGAUGCUGAGUGAAAAAGAGUAGAAAUGGGAAGACUUGGUUGUGCAGAAACUGAGUUCUUAAAGAGAGGAGAUACUUUAUGAGGUUGCAGGGCUUUGACUCCUGGGUACAUGUAUCUCAUCUGAAAGGGAAUCCUGACGCCUACUGAAUCUUAAUAGUCAAUAUUGAUAUCUGGCAUCAAAUUCAAGUUGACCAAAGUUCCAUCUUCAGACCUGGGAGAAGAUGACAGUCAAAAUGAACUGCUUUCAUGUGACACUGGACCAGGCCUAUAUACAAAGGCAUAAGUAAUCAUUGAAUAAUGUUUCAUCUAUCUAUCUUAAUAUAAUUUGUUCUAUGCCUUACUAGAUAAAUGUUUAGUUACCUGUGAGUUUUCUUUUCCUGCCAUUGUCAGAGCUAGGCAGGGCUUAAGUCCCUUUCGUUUAAACAUUACUAACUCUAUACAUAGCUUGCAAAAUUGGAUAAAACAACAAAGGUUACUUUUUCACUCUCUCUCUGCUUAAUAUCUCUGAAAUUUAAAACUAUUCAGAAUCCCACUGGGCCCGAUCUAUUUUCAAUGCUAAUGCUCCACUGCUAAAACUAUAUAAGCAUCUUCCCUCUAGGCUCAGGCACUAUCUUGGAAGAGGUAAAUGUGUAAGAUUGUAAAGGUUGAUUUUUGAGCAACAAAAUUAAUUUAGAUCUUCCAAAUAAAAAAUGGGCACACAGAUGCCCAAACAGUUGGCAAAAUAAGAUACUUUACCUCCUGGACCAGUAUGUGGACCUUUUUCAUCCAUCCCAACCAUAAUUUCCUCUUUCCUGUAGAAUUAAAAGAAAAUUGCAAAGAGGAUAUGAACUUUUCUGGUAAGAAAACCUCCUGGGUAUAGUGCUCCCAGUUAUGAGAUUUAUGCAGAUUGUUAUAUAAAGUUUUUUUAAAUCAAGCACCUUAGGACAAACUAUUAAAAAGACUGCUAAAAGCGUUGUGACACAACAAAAGUCUCUAAAUUCUGUAGCUUAAAAAGUUUUAACAAAGUACUUAUCUUUUGCAAGCUAAUUGCUACAAGUCUAUAACUAAAACAUGUAUUGACUGAUGUCUUAGGUCUCCCUAAAAUAUAUAAAACCAAGUUGUAAACCAAUCACCUUGGACACAUGUUCUCAGGACCUCUGGAGACUGUGCCUUGGGCCAUGGUCACUCAUAUUUGGCUGAGAAUAAAAUUUUAAAAAUAUUUUACAGAGUUGGGUUUUUCUUGUUGGCUUUUUCAUAAAAUGUAAAAUGUUUGAGAAAGACACUUCUCAAGUGGCCAAGUGAGGAUAUUCUAGCUUAAUGCGUAGAAUUUAUAGCUAAGUCAAUUUUGUAACCUUGCCUUUUGACUUUUGGUUCUUGAUGCUUACAUUACAAAAUUUUAAGGUUUGAUAAAUGCCUGCUCCACUUCCAUUCCCAUCUGGCCUAGGAUAUUUAAAUUGGCUAUAAGUCUUUUGGCUCUACAUCUGUUGGCCGUGAGUCCCCACCAAGGGAUAGGAUAGACCCAGGGCACAUAGCCACACCACCCCAGCAAUGGUAUGCAACAAAAUGAUAGUUUGGCCAUUGAUGUUGCCUCUGGGAAAUUUUUUUUUUUUUUUUGACGAAGUCUUGCUCUGUUGCCCAAGCUGGAGUGCAGUGGUGUGUUCUAGGCUGACUGCAACCUUUGCUUCCUGGGUUCAAGUGAUUCUCUUGCUUCAGCCUCCCAAAUGGCUGGUAUUACAGACGUGCACCACCACACCUGGCUAAUUUUUUUUUUUUUUUUUUGAGACAGAGUCUCACUCUGUCAUUCAGGCUGGAGUGCAGUGGCACAAUCUCGGUUCACUGCAACCUCCAUUUCCCGGGUUCAAGUGAUUCUCCUGCCUCAGCCUCCUGAGUAGCUGGGAUUAUAGGCAUGCACCACCAGGCCCAGCUAAUUUUUGUAUUUUUUUGUAGAGAUGGGGUUUCGCCAUGUUAGUCAGGCUAGUCUCGAACUCCUGACCUCGUGAUCCACCUGCCUCGGCCUCCCAAAGUGAUGGGAUUAUAGGCGUGAGCCACUGUGCCUGGCCUAAUUUUAGUAUUUUUAGUAGAGAUGGGGUUUCGCAAUGUUGGCCAGGCUAGUCUCGAACUCCUGACUUCAGGUGAUCUGCCUGCCUUGGCCUCCCAAAGUGCUGGGAUUACAGGUGUGAGCCACCACGCUUGGCCUCCUCUGCUCAAUCCUGACCAGAAAAAUCAAAUUCUAACUCCCCCAAUCAACUGAAUUCCCCUCCAUUCAUCUGCCAAGGGGAUUCUAAAGAAUCCUGAAAACUAGUUCAGGCCAUGACAAUUGACAUUAAAACAGAUCUUAAAACUGACAAAACAGAUUCUUUGUAGCAAUAAGAUACCAAAUUUCAACCUGACUCAGGUAUAACUUCACAUGAUAAAAAAGGAAAUAAAAAUAUUUUACCCCCAAAAUAGAUUUCUUUGACAUAUUUUGAAAUGGCCCUGCAAGGCAGUUGGGGAAAUUUUGCAUCUGUAAAGCAUCUCCUUAACAUAACUAGAUCUUUCCCCUUCCAGGCCCUCCUAAACCUGAAGAGAUUAACUGAGAUUCUAGCACCUUUUAAAGUCUACAUAGGAAACAUUCACCAUUUAUUAUCUCUAAGGGCAGCCACUUAUGAGACUUCAUCUAUGUAAUAAAAACCUUGGUCUCCACAACCCCUUAUGUUAACCCAGACACUCCUUUCUAUUGAUUCCAGGUCUUUAGAAAAUAACUUAACUCCUCCAAGCAAUUGCCAAACAGAAAACCUUGGCAUCUUCCUAUGACCUGUAAGCACCCACUUUCCCCUGCUUUAAGUUGUCCUACCCUUCUGCACCAAACCAAUGUAUACCUCACAUGUAUUGAUUGAUGUCUUCUGUCUCUCUAAAACAUAGAAAAGAAAGCUGUAACCCAACCACCUUGGUCAGGACGUCUUGAGACUGUGCCUUGCGCCAUGGUCAGUCGUAUUUUGUGCAGAAUAAACAUUUUUCAAUAUUUUACAGAGUUUGGCUUUUUUGUUGACUUUUUUCAUAAAACAUGAAAGAUUAUGUUUGAGAAAGGCGUUUCUCAAGUGACCAUGUGAAGAUGUUGGGAAAUCCUCUCGCCAAAGAACAACUAUGAAAUGGACAAAACCAACCAUUUCUGUGCUCUGGAAAUUAAAUGUGCACAACAAUGUUAAACUUUGGGCAAGAAAGUUUGAACUCUGAUACGGUUUUGAUUUGUGUCACUGCUGAAAUCUCUUGUGCAAUUGUGACCCUCAGUGUUGGAGGAGGGGCCUGGUGGGAAGUGAUUGGAUCAUGGGGGUGGAUUUCCCCCUUGCUGUUCUCAUGUAGUGAGUGAGUUCUCGUGAGAUCUGGUUGUUUAAAAGUGUGUAGCAUCUCCCCCUGCUCUCUUCCUCCUUCUCUGGCCAUGUAAAACCUGCCUGCUUCCCCUUUGCCUUCUACCAUGAUUGUAAGUUUCCUGAGGCCUCCACAGCCAUGCUUCCUGUACAGACUGUGGAAGUGUAAGUCAAUUAAACGUCUUUAGUCUUUAAACCUAUAAAUAUCUUUGUAACAACUUCCUUAGCUACAAUCUAUAAGUUAUUUAUAGAUUACACAGUCUCAGGUAGUUCUUAAUAGCAAUGCAAAAAUGCACUAAUACAAACCCUGUUUUGGUCUGGCCUGUGGCUGCUUCCGUAUUUCUCUUUCCUAGGUCCAUCUAUAGGGACAUUCUGCCAAGGUGAAAUAAAGACUGAUAAAAUUCCUUACUAGCAAACUUGUAUUACAAGAAAUAACUAAAAACAGUCCUUCAGUCUAAAAGGAAAUGACUCUAUAUGGUGACUUGAAUCCACAAGAAUAAAUGAAGGGCACAGGAAAUGGUAAAUAGCUGGGUUAAUAUAAAAAAGACUCUAUGUAUUGUUUUUUCAUUUUUUCUAUAUUAUCUAAAUGACCUAAGAUUAUGUGAAGUAAUAAUUAUUACAUUGUACUGUUGGUUUUAAAAUAUAUAACUGUAAUUUAUAUGAUAACAGACCAAUGUUGGAGGGGUUUGGAAAUAAAUAUGAGCAAAGUUUCUAUGUUUUACUUGAAGUAAGUUAGUAUUAAGCUGAUGUAUAUUCUGAUAGGUUAAAAUGUAUAUUGUAACCCUUAGAACAACUAUUAAAAUAAAUCAAAAGC
Molecule: long non-coding RNA, 5646 nt
Filed under: Homo sapiens (human)
Lineage: Eukaryota; Metazoa; Chordata; Mammalia; Primates; Hominidae
Description: HSALNT0286436
Source: RNAcentral